GACGAACGCUGGCGGCGUGCUUAACACAUGCAAGUCGAACGGAAAGGCCCUGCUUUUGUGGGGUGCUCGAGUGGCGAACGGGUGAGUAACACGUGAGUAACCUGCCCUUGACUUUGGGAUAACUUCAGGAAACUGGGGCUCAUACCGGCUAGGAGCUCCUGCUGCAUGGUGGGGGUUGGAAAGUUUCGGCGGUUGGGGAUGGACUCGCGGCUUAUCAGCUUGUUGGUGGGGUAGUGGCUUACCAAGGCUUUGACGGGUAGCCGGCCUGAGAGGGUGACCGGCCACAUUGGGACUGAGAUACGGCCCAGACUCCUACGGGAGGCAGCAGUGGGGAAUAUUGCACAAUGGGCGGAAGCCUGAUGCAGCAACGCCGCGUGCGGGAUGACGGCCUUCGGGUUGUAAACCGCUUGCGCCUGCGACGAAGCGUGAGUGACGGUAAUGGGUAAAGAAGCACCGGCUAACUACGUG
RNAcentral lists this ribosomal RNA (468 nucleotides) under uncultured bacterium. RNAcentral describes it as "partial 16S ribosomal RNA". It matches the Rfam family "Bacterial small subunit ribosomal RNA", at positions 28 to 507 of the family's 1533-position model. The record is from RNAcentral.